AGGACUAACGCUGGCGGCGUGCCUAACACAUGCAAGUCGAACGAGGGGUAGCAAUACCCCUAGUGGCAGACGGGUGAGUAACACGUAGUCAACCUACCUCUUAAUGGGGGAUAACUAGCCGAAAGGUUAGCUAAUACCGCAUACGAUCGUCGAGUGGCAUCACACGACGAUGAAAGGAGCAAUCCGUUGAGAGAGGGGACUGCGUCCCAUUAGUUAGUUGGUGGGGUAAUGGCCUACCAAGACUCCGAUGGGUAGCUGGCUUGAGAGAGCGACCAGCCACACUGGAACUGAGACACGGUCCAGACUCCUACGGGAGGCAGCAGUGAGGAAUUUUCCGCAAUGGGGGAAACCCUGACGGAGCGACGCCGCGUGUGGGAAGAAGGCCUUCGGGUCGUAACCACUGUCGAGGGGGACGAUAUUGACGGUACCCCUGGAGGAGCCCGGCUAACUACGUGCCAGCAGCCGC
This 466-nucleotide ribosomal RNA is filed under the name uncultured bacterium. Its description in RNAcentral is "SSU rRNA". It matches the Rfam family "Bacterial small subunit ribosomal RNA", at positions 26 to 518 of the family's 1533-position model. The record is from RNAcentral.